AUACGGAGGGUGCAAGCGUUAAUCGGAAUUACUGGGCGUAAAGCGCACGCAGGCGGUUUGUUAAGUCAGAUGUGAAAUCCCCGGGCUCAACCUGGGAACUGCAUCUGAUACUGGCAAGCUUGAGUCUCGUAGAGGGGGGUAGAAUUCCCGGUGUAGCGGUGAAAUGCGUAGAGAUCUGGAGGAAUACCGGUGGCGAAGGCGGCCCCCUGGACGAAGACUGACGCUCAGGUGCGAAAGCGUGGGGAGCAAACAGGAUUAGAUACCCUGGUAGUCCACGCCGUAAACGAUGUCGACUUGGAGGUUGUGCCCUUGAGGCGUGGCUUCCGGAGCUAACGCGUUAAGUCGACCGCCUGGGGAGUACGGCCGCAAGGUUAAAACUCAAAUGAAUUGGCGGGG
This 396-nucleotide ribosomal RNA is filed under the name uncultured bacterium. Its description in RNAcentral is "partial 16S ribosomal RNA". It matches the Rfam family "Bacterial small subunit ribosomal RNA", at positions 523 to 918 of the family's 1533-position model. The record is from RNAcentral.